Long non-coding RNA from Alosa alosa (allis shad), 2498 nucleotides. RefSeq lists it as uncharacterized. The transcript is spliced from 8 exons. NCBI's taxonomy places the organism in Eukaryota, Metazoa, Chordata, Actinopteri, Clupeiformes, Clupeidae. The record is from RefSeq and is a predicted model, not a curated record.
UCCUCCCCUUCAGCAGUGGCGGUAAGAGCGAGGACAGAGAGCGCAUCUGAGUCAGACGCUGCGUCUCCCGUGGUUUGAGCAGACGAACGCUGUCGUGUCUCGCUGCCACUGAGUUGUGUGCGGUGCGUACCUGACGGUGCCGGUGGUAUGAGGUGAGAUGGCGCCCGAAGUGUGGACGCUCCUGCUCGCGCUCCUGCUCCCGGCCCUUGGCCACGCGCAGAGCGGAGGAGGAGAAACUGAUGGAGAUCCAGAUGCAGAGCCUGAUGUGCCUGAUAAGCCUGAUGUGCCUUGCUUUUCUGAGAUCAGCCUCAAAGUCAACUAUUUAACCUGUUCUUUACCUGACGACCCUAUUGGCACCCAAAUUAGUCUUCGCUCAGAGGAACGAAAUCCUAUGUGUUGGAAUUCAACUUUGAAUGGAUCUUAUUUUACUGCAGUCAUUGAUAACAUAUUGGCUAAACAUAUACUCACCAUUCAAGGCAAAGAGAGGAUUGAAAUAAAUAUGAUUGAUAUAGUCAAGCUUCCACCACCACAGAAUAUAACAGCCACAUAUUUGAAAAACUCAGGAGAUGUAAAAAUAAGUUGUAAUGGAUACAGGCAUGACUUUGUGAAACACUUCAAUUUUCUAGUGCAAAUCUGGAAUGCAACAAGUCGUAAGAACUAUACGUACUCAUAUGAGGAUUUCAUCAUUGAACGUGAACAGCUUGGAGAUGUGAAGACUGGCUCACAGUUUUCGGUGAGAGCAUUGGUCAAACCGGGCGGAACUAUUUCAGUGGACCCUGGUCAGAUUGGAGCCAUACGAAAAACUUCACAGUGGACAGAGCUUUCAUAGUGGCUCUUUUAGUUGAUGAAAAAGAUGGUGCCCUAUUGUACUCCAUUAUCUUUUCCACCAUCGCCAUACUGCUGCUUGGCAUCUGCCUGAUCACCCGGUUCCGGAGGAAGAAACUUAAAGCCUACAUCUUGCCAAAUGUGCCACAUCCCAAGACGACCCUCGUCCAUAUGCAGAAAUUUAACAAGGGCCUGCUUCUGAAUUUCAACCCGGAGAUCUUCAGCGACCUUCACAUCAACCAGCUGGACGAGGCAGGGGAGGACAAACCACUCGCCGAGUCCACUGACGGACGAGGAGCUGACAACCAGAGCCGCUGCCCAAGUCAACUCAGCCAGGUCCUCCUCUGGCAGGUUCCGCCGGGCGACGGCAGCUCCGACGGGUCACAGUGCACACUGCGGGGCGAGGACGGGCCGCUGGAGGACCGGCGAGACUGGGCGGACGUGUCCAGCGCGGGGCUGAGGUUCCUGGGGGAGGCGGCCCCCACAGUGGACUCUGGACACAGCUCUGGAGACCCCUCCUUGACGAGCACCUGUGUACCGCAGCGAGAAUGUAAGGACGAGGCCUACGUCACAAUGUCUUGCCUCUUCAAGACACAGUAGGUUUGGAGAGAAGUCAGAUGAAAGGAAUGGGAUGUUUUACAGCCUACUGGUUUUCCUUAUGACCAUGCAGCAGCCUGCCAGCAACCAGUUCAGCUGAUCAGUCUAACAAAUGGCUGAUCGGUUGCCUCAGGUUUGAUCCUGUUCAGGUGAACAUAAAAAACUAUGGUCACACAGACUCUGGUUCAACAUGGCCGACCUGUAGCUGCUUAUUUUUCUUCCAUGCAAGGGAAUGAUCAACUGCUGCUUGUUAAGGUUUUAUAGUUCAUGCAAACAGUCCAUGAACCUCUGCGAAUUGCACCAGUUGUUACCACAACCACUACCGGACAUUUCCAAUAGGAACCGACACUGUACCUGCUCCAGAGAGGAGAGAUGGAUUUCACUGAAGCGUUAAUUAACUUUCGCACAACACUGCUUAUUAGCGGCCAUCUAAAACUGAAACAAGUUCUAAAACUGUCACCAGACAUGCUGUCACUAGCAUGCUUAUUUCUCGAGUCAUAUCAGCAACAUGAUUGGGAUAGUUGCCUUGUGGGAUCCAACACAAAUUCCACUUUAUCUGCUCAGGUUUUUUUUUUUAAUGCUCUAAACUUUUUUGUAAAGAGCGUCUGAAUGUAGCACAGGUAUGUGUUCAGCUAAUUGUACAAACCUUGAUCCUGCAAAUGAAGUGGCUUGCUUGUACUUGUGCUCUACAUACUAUUCUAACACAAUUUGCACUUACAGUUACUUCCAUAUUCUCAAAAUCAUUGUCAUAUAUUACAAUGUUUUGUUGUAGACACCUUAUUGUUUUUGUUUAUGGUAUGGUUUUAAAGGUUAAAUGUAGUAUUUUAUUGUCAUAUACAUACAUGCUUCAAGAGGUUGAACGGUAAUGUUUGAGGACAGAGUAACCAUUGUCCAUUCCAAUGUUCCUUUGCAUGCAGUGCAUACUUGUCUGUUUCACCACAUGUAACUGCACUAGUUCAACAAAGAAUCAAGAUGAACAGCAUGCAAAGCAACAAUUUUUUUAACAGCAAUUGCACAAUUAAGGCACGCCAAGAAGCAUUGUUAUGUUUUACAAAUAAACUACUUCUUGGCCCUUU